Molecule: long non-coding RNA, 1475 nt
Filed under: Phascolarctos cinereus (koala)
Lineage: Eukaryota; Metazoa; Chordata; Mammalia; Diprotodontia; Phascolarctidae
Description: lncRNA (ENSPCIG00000035301.1)
Source: RNAcentral
CUGGAGGCUACACACAGCUGUCUGUGUUCCCCAAUUUUUUCCAAGAUCUUCUGGAAGGGAAGAAAGAGGAGCAAAAGGGGAUUGGGGGAAAGGGAGUGAAAGUAAGAAAUGUUCUUCCAAAGAUUUUCCUGCUCCUUUGCUGAAUGAGUGUAAGGAAUGCCAGCCUCUCCUAACCACCAGGAUAAAGACAGAGAAGAGAAAGGGCUCCCCCACUGGGGCACGUCCGGGAGCACCUGGAGGGUGUGAGACUGCUCACAUUUUAAAGAGGGAAAGAAGACAGGAGGCUGACUUGUGCGCCCUUACCGUUCAGAUUUCUAGGAGCCUGGAGCUGCGAAUUUGAGUAGUGGUAGAAUCUUGUUUUUGUUUUGGGAUGGAUAUGGGAGGGGUUGGUUUUCGUUUUCUUUUUUUUUUGUUUUGGUUUUUAAUUAAAGAUAGAAGGGGUGCUCGUCUACACUCUGAAGCUCGAGGGUAGGGGGAGCCUUUUCAAUACACAGUAAGUCCAAGUGUAUUCCUGCCCCCCUUCCCCUCCACCCAAGUCAUCACCUACGUAAGACCUUUUUUGAGCAAGGAAGAGCCUCAGACCUUUCCUCCCGACACACCCUUACGGUGACAAGUGAAAACAGCAGAAUUCCUUUCUCUUCCACUCCAAACUUGCCCCCCCUCCUUUCUGGGGUGGUGUUUAAACAGGAUUUCCUUACUGGCUUUUUUUUUUCCUAUCCUUCAUUUUUUGCAAUGGUCACGGCCUUCCUGAGAGAGACCAAGGAGGACUAUGUGGAACACGCUACAUAUGAAAGAUUGAGCGAGCUGCAGGGUUUUAGGACAGGAGGAGAAAGGGGUGUGUGUAGAUGAAAAUCGGGACCCUGGCGUACCCCCAUCCCCCCUUUCCCCAGGCAGCUGCACUUACCUCGUCCACGGUCAGAGGCAUGCAUAUCCGGUACUCCUUCAAGAGCAUAUUCUUGCUGUCCCGGGGGUUGGUGCAGAGCAGCGAACCUCAGAAGAACCUCGCCGGGCGGGCGAGUUCGAGUUCUAUCUGCACCCUCUCCGAGGCGAGGCAGGCCCCCCGAAGCAGGCACUGGGGGGGGCAGCCCCCCAGGCAAACCAGCUUUCUCAAACACGGGCGAGACCGAGUGCUAGCAUACAGACACCCAAGCGCUGCCCGGAGCAGAAAACAACACCCCCCCCCCCGACCGUUCGGAGCUGCUGCUGCUGCUAUUGCUGCUGCUUCUGCUUCCUUCCUCCUCACGCGGAGAGCAAGUCAAGUCUUUCCAAAUGUUAAUGUCACCAGGAGCCCAUUGCAGCUGAAGAGAAAGGAGAGAGAUGCUGACUUCACCAGACAAAGGCUUGAUAUAUUUUUCUCCUCGGGCGGUAAACAAGAUUUCCAGUCCCCGUCCCCCCCACCCCAGGCAACUCCCGGUUUAGCUAACGCCGGGGUUGAAAGGAGGAACAAUCCCCGCUUAGCAUUGCUUUGCUCCUAG